Molecule: long non-coding RNA, 484 nt
Organism: Rosa rugosa (rugosa rose)
Lineage: Eukaryota; Viridiplantae; Streptophyta; Magnoliopsida; Rosales; Rosaceae
Exons: 2
Source: RefSeq, a predicted model, not a curated record
UGCAUUUAGUUUGGGAUCAAGAGUGGUGGAUCCUUUUAGAGCUUCAUUGACACCAAAAAUGGUGGAAGCCCUUGUUUGCACUUCGGAUUGGUUAAAAUCUGACCCCCCAAAUUUGUACAAAGAUCCCACUGAAGAUGACCUUGAAAUGUACCACACUUUGGAGGAACUUGAGAGGGAGAAUGCUUUUAAUCAAGGAGUGGCGGGAACAAUGACCAAUACCAGCUCUACACAGUCACAAACUACUGCCUCGCUGCCCUCGUAGUCUACAUCUUGAGCUUUCAGCUUUCUUGUUCAUUGAUUGAAAUUGCAGAAACUACCUAAAUUCUUCUUCAUUGACUGAAGUGAUGAAUGAUUGAUGAACUAUGAAGUGAUGAAUGAUUGAUGAGUUGAACUGUGAAUUAUUGAACUGUGAAUUGAUGAGAUGAACUGUGAAUUAUUGAAUUAUAAUUUGUAUGAACUAUGAAGUGAUGAAUGAUUGAUGAGA